UUUGCAUCUCUUCCCUAUGAGUUGGUAACAUUAAAAAAACAACUGUCGAAGUCAGACGAGUGUUGGUCGAGUCUACUGUCAACUACUGUGUUUGCGAUUGAGUGUUUUAGACAAGAAAUAUGCCCAGAUGCCCAGGAUAUUGAUUACAGGGUACACCAAAUUUGGUCAACUUUCAUCAUGAGAUGCUAUAGUUCAGCUAUAGAGAGGACACAGAGAGUAAUUACAAAAAAAAACGAAUUACUAAACUGCCAGUAGAUGUCCGACAGGAGCUUACGGACAGAAAGCGGCAGGCGCAAUUAGAUUUAGCAAUAAGGCCGCCUUUUGUCUCUAGUGUCUCGAUUUAUUUGUUUGGUACGUCAUUUUGUGCAAUCAAGUAUAUUGUAUUGCAAGACUGUAAUUUUAAAUUCUAAUAAAAAAUAUAUAUUUUUA
This is a long non-coding RNA of Pectinophora gossypiella (pink bollworm), 429 nucleotides long. RefSeq lists it as uncharacterized. The transcript has 3 exons. Lineage: Eukaryota; Metazoa; Arthropoda; Insecta; Lepidoptera; Gelechiidae. The record is from RefSeq and is a predicted model, not a curated record.